RNAcentral lists this long non-coding RNA (339 nucleotides) under Homo sapiens (human). Its description in RNAcentral is "HSALNT0359872". The record is from RNAcentral. Lineage: Eukaryota; Metazoa; Chordata; Mammalia; Primates; Hominidae.
UGAGAAUGUGAGUCCAGUUGCAUGCAAGUUGGUAGAUUCGAUGGUGGAAGAGAAUUUUUCUUACUUCCGUGAGUUUUUCACUGAGAGUAAAGGUGGUCUGGAGAGAAUGUGGAAUUUGAAAGAAGAACUAAAAUAUCCUUAAGGCAUGAAAGUUUAUCCUUUCACCAGAGACUACAAUUAAUAUUUCAAGGCUGAAUUAGAUCUGCUCACCUAAAAUGGAACAGAAGGCCGCAAGGAAAACAUUGUCAGGAGAAGGGUGAUCUCUGCACAAACUGGCUCCCCUUCGCCUUCCACCAAGAGUGGAAGCAGCCUGAGACACCCAGUCUUCUAACCAGCAGA